Thalassophryne amazonica is the source of this 2765-nucleotide long non-coding RNA. RefSeq lists it as uncharacterized. Lineage: Eukaryota; Metazoa; Chordata; Actinopteri; Batrachoidiformes; Batrachoididae. The transcript is spliced from 4 exons. The record is from RefSeq and is a predicted model, not a curated record.
CUGUGUUUGUCUCUUAAAAUCAGUCAGUACCACUGACUGGAUGCUUGUCCUUUUUGGAAUGUGACUGUAGCCAUAAUGUUUGGAUUGUGUGUCUCACAUUGUUGUGGUUUUGGCGGCACUUUACUCUUAACAACUCAUUAAGCAGCACCGUGGGGCAGCACAAUUGGAAGCAGAGACGUUCAGGUGGAAUAUCAGCCAACUUGUCAGAUGGUCUGAGUUCUUCGGGGAGACAAGACAGCUCAAAAACUGCUGGAUGGAUUUCAUUCAAACCAGGAUACCAAAACAGUGAAGCCAGGAGACUAAGUGUUUAUCAAGGUCAUAAAAAGGAAAAACUGCUCCAGCCCAUGGUGGGAAGGCCCGUUCCAAGUAUUGCUGACCACACCAACAGCCGUGAAGAUCGCUGAGAGACCGUCAUGGAUACAUCUAAGUCACUGUAAGCUGCAGCGUGUGCCUAUAACCACAAACGAGUAAAGGGGAAGUCUGACUACAAAGGGGAUUCACCGUAUAGUGUUGUCUCGUCUCAACGUCAGUGAAGCAGGGAGAUCCUUACUCACUUAGAGUGGCUUAUAGGUGACGCUGUGGCCUAGCACCAAUGGCUGAUCCGCAGAAUACACCCAACCCACGUGCCAGGCGCCGUGGCUGUGGGUGAGUCUGGCAGGCAGUCUGAUUUGUUGUGAUCUUAGCAUGUUUUUGUCUACUGUGGCAGAUGUGGGAACGACCUCCCCCGUCUGAAACUGAUCUCGAUGAAUCAACCCCGUUCACCCUCUCACCCAAAAAGAAAAAUGAUACAUCAACCACCCUGACGAACCACAACACCCUUACCAUACCAACAUGUGGUGGCGCUACGUGAAUUACACUUCACAUCUAGCGAACCAUACCAACUGUUAUGUCUGUACAUAUAUUCCUGUUUCCACCACACAUAAUGGUCUACAUGCUACUCCAAUGUCUCGAGCAAAUACCAGUUGUUUGAUGGGCCUGUCAACCUACCCAGGAAAUUAUUCUGUACCUCUGAACAAAACCACUGCGUCUCCCUUGGUGGGAAACUGUACCGGUUCCAGUUUACCCCCAGGUGCAGGACCCCUUACUGAUAACUGAUAUAACGCCUUAUCAUAGCUUUGACUAUUGCAUAAUUGGGAAUGGCUCAAACCUGCUUGGGUGGCUUUCACCUCACUCCUGCAAUUUUACUUACACCUUCUGCAAUUAUGUAAAUCGAACAGCAAAAAAUGAAUGCAACAGAAAUAAAACCUGUAAACAGGAUAAGACCCAAUGGAACAAGGCUCGCCUCGUCAGGGACGCAGACCAUUUCUGGUGUAACACCACCCAGGCCCCUUACGUUAAGCGCUGUUCCUGUGCAGCCAUAGCGCCAACCCAGAAGGGCACUAGAGUCCUCACUGAUUACUAUUGGCUAUGCGGGACCAACGUUUACGCUCACCUUCCUCUCAAUUGGAGUGUAAGAUGUGGAAUGAUUUAUUUACACAAGACAGUAGUACAUAUUACUAAAGACCAAUGGUCCGAAGCCACUGUCAAGUUCCAUGAACCACAUAAUGUUCCCGUUAAACGAGAACUGUCUGAUACCAGCCAUAUUCCUAGUGAUAAAAGAAUAUUCCAUCAGGGAUGGAGGUGCACUAUUCGGCAUGCUUCCGCAUGUUGGGGUCAACCUUGUAGCUCUAGAAAUUGAGUUCACCCGCUGGAAGGUUUUGCAAUUCAUGAACUCCACACUCGAGAUGGCCAAUGCAACCGCGGAAGAAAUUAGGGCCCUGCGACUGAUGGUACUGCAAAACCGUAUGGUUCUUGAUCAGCUGACCGCACCCUCCGGUGGAGUGUGUGCUUUGGUGGGUACAGCGUGCUGCACCUUUAUCCCGGACAACACAGCUGACGGAGGUGCCAUCACCUGAGCCCUACAAGAGAUGACAGAGGUCCGUGACUCUGUCCAAGCAACAAUGUCAUCACCUAACUGGAGCUUCUGGUCAUGGUUUACAUCAGGAAGUUGGUGGCAACUUCUACUACAAGCUUUGACCCCUCUAUUGAUCAUUGUUGCAGUUUUUGCACUCUUACGUUGCUGCAUAGUGCCUUGCCUCCGUUCCAUGAUUGUAAAAUUAGUCUCCAACGCCUUUGUCCGAUGUAAUGUCGUACAGCGAGACCUCCAUCGAGAAACUACCCAUUUCCAACCAUUGUCGACCGAUGAUUUUGAGCACGAACCAGAAUAUGAUGUCCGCCAAUCGCCAUAUGCCGAUGCCCGGCCGUGUCAACCACCUGAUUACGAGGUCGAUAUUCCUGAGCGUUCUGACACCGCCCUGUAAGCAAUAAGACACCACAUAACGAUUUAAAAUCUUUAUUAUUGGUUCACUGUCAUUUUGUCCUCCUGUUUUUGGUUACUAUAUUCAUCUCCGCAUUCGUCUAUGAUGUUACAACUGAAAAUGUUCUUAACAAGUGGUUGUGAUUAAUGUAUUGGAUGUGGUUGAGAUGUAAUAAAUGAUAAACAGGAGGGAUAUGUUAGAUAAAAUGUACUGUACAAACAUGUUAUCAUUUAUUACAUCUGGUCUUUUAUAUUGUUCCGUUUGCAUCUUAAAUUCUGCAAACUGUUUCUCUCAGAUAUUCCCAGAUAGAUAGCACAGCUGCAGGUCAGCCUGUUUGCGGUUUGACAUUUAGCAAGCUUCAGCAAAACCGCUCACUGUACCUAAGAUCAGAAUGUUUCAGUUGAUUGCAUACGUAUCUGCACAUGACUAAUAGCACAUGUUGUAACCACACGCCUGUGGACUCAUGUA